UACGUAGGUGGCAAGCGUUGUCCGGAUUUAUUGGGUUUAAAGGGUGCGUAGGCGGUUUUUUAAGUCAGUGGUGAAAUCCGGCAGCUCAACUGUCGAGGUGCCAUUGAUACUGGGAAACUUGAGUACUGAUGAGGUAGGCGGAAUGGACGGUGUAGCGGUGAAAUGCUUAGAGAUCGUCCAGAACACCGAUAGCGAAGGCAGCUUACUAAAGAGUAACUGACGCUGAGGCACGAAAGUGUGGGGAUCAAACAGG
RNAcentral lists this ribosomal RNA (253 nucleotides) under uncultured bacterium. RNAcentral describes it as "partial 16S ribosomal RNA". It matches the Rfam family "Bacterial small subunit ribosomal RNA", at positions 524 to 776 of the family's 1533-position model. The record is from RNAcentral.